RNAcentral lists this ribosomal RNA (440 nucleotides) under uncultured bacterium. RNAcentral describes it as "partial 16S ribosomal RNA". It matches the Rfam family "Bacterial small subunit ribosomal RNA", at positions 338 to 795 of the family's 1533-position model. The record is from RNAcentral.
CCUACGGGGGGCAGCAGUGGGGAAUAUUGCACAAUGGGGGAAACCCUGAUGCAGCGACGCCGCGUGGGUGAAGAAGUACUUCGUUAUGUAAAGCUCUAUCAGCAGGGAAGAAAAUGACGGUACCUGACGAAUAAGCCACGGCUAACUACGUGCCAGCAGCCGCGGUAAUACGUAGGUGGCAAGCGUUGUCCGGAUUUACUGGGUGUAAAGGGCGUGUAGCCGGGUUGACAAGUCAGAUGUGAAAGCCUGCGGCUUAACCGGAGAACUGCAUUUGAAACUGUGGAUCGUGAGUACUGGAGAGGCAGACGGAAUUCCAAGUGUAGCGGUGAAAUGCGUAGAUAUUAGGAGGAACACCAGUGGCGAAGGCGGUCUGCUGGACAGCAACUGACGGUGAGGCGCGAAAGCGUGGGGAGCAAACAGGAUUAGAUACCCGGGUAGUC